Molecule: transfer RNA, 73 nt
Filed under: Mus musculus (house mouse)
Lineage: Eukaryota; Metazoa; Chordata; Mammalia; Rodentia; Muridae
Rfam family: tRNA
About the family: Transfer RNA (tRNA) molecules are approximately 80 nucleotides in length. Their secondary structure includes four short double-helical elements and three loops (D, anti-codon, and T loops).
Source: Rfam by way of RNAcentral
GGAGAUGUGGCUCAGUGGUUGAGAGCACUUGCUGCUUUUGUAGAAGACCUGGGUUCAAUUCCCAGCACCCACA